UAUAAAGGCUGGUGACUUGGUUUUUAAGGGAUGGGACUUCUUGACUAAUGGAAGAGUUAGGAGGACAGCUACGGUUGUGACUGCUUAACAGUUUGUUUAAAUUUUUUGUAGAGUUUAGUAGGGUGAUUAUAUAUUUAAUGCUAAUCUCAGUCUCAAGCUUGUUGGGAGUCCAAUGUUCUAAUUGUUUAUUUGUACCAUGUGGGAUUCCUUUUUGAUUUUUAAAAGUGGUGCAAUUAUUUGGUAGGUACUAAUCCAGGUGCAAGUUUAAGUUGAAGAAAGGUGCGGUGUCCCUGUCUGCUACCUUGUUCUGGUUCAUGGGCAUGGUCAUAUUUCAGGAGACAGGAUAUCCACAUUUAAAAUCCAAAACAAGCCUCCUGACCAUGGAAAUCAUCAAAGGAGUUCGAUACAUUGAAUCAGCACAUAGCAAUCAGGAAGUAUAGUGGGAUGUUAUUGAUCUAAUCAUUACCGGAGGUUUUGCAAUGAGUAGUGAAGACAAGAAGUUCUCAGCUAAUCAGAAGGGCAUUCGUUCCCUCACUGAAUUGCUGCCAUGACAGCUAAGGGAGCUAAGGACUCUGAGAUGUUAACUCUAAUAUAAUCCACUUGAAAAU
This is a non-coding RNA of Elaeis guineensis (African oil palm), 608 nucleotides long. Lineage: Eukaryota; Viridiplantae; Streptophyta; Magnoliopsida; Arecales; Arecaceae. The record is from RefSeq and is a predicted model, not a curated record.